UCCGGAGUAGCUCAAUGGUAGAGCAAUCGACUGUUAAUCGAUUGGUUCUCGGUUCGAAUCCGAGCUCCGGAG
This 72-nucleotide transfer RNA is filed under the name Candidatus Kerfeldbacteria bacterium. RNAcentral describes it as "tRNA-Asn". It matches the Rfam family "tRNA". From Rfam's summary of the family: Transfer RNA (tRNA) molecules are approximately 80 nucleotides in length. Their secondary structure includes four short double-helical elements and three loops (D, anti-codon, and T loops). Lineage: Bacteria; Candidatus Kerfeldiibacteriota. The record is from RNAcentral.